CUUGUACUCCCUCCGUCCGAAAAUACUUGUCAUUGAAAUGGAUGUAUCUAGAUGUAUUUUAGUUCUAGACACAUCCAUUUUGAUAACAAGUAAUUCCGGACGGAGGGAGUACUUG
Triticum aestivum (bread wheat) is the source of this 115-nucleotide non-coding RNA. NCBI's taxonomy places the organism in Eukaryota, Viridiplantae, Streptophyta, Magnoliopsida, Poales, Poaceae. The record is from Rfam.